CCUACGGGAGGCAGCAGUGAGGAAUAUUGGUCAAUGGACGCAAGUCUGAACCAGCCAUGCCGCGUGCAGGAAGACGGCUCUAUGAGUUGUAAACUGCUUUUGUACGAGGGUAAACGCAGAUACGCGUAUCUGUCUGAAAGUAUCGUACGAAUAAGGAUCGGCUAACUCCGUGCCAGCCGCCGCGGUAAUACGGAGGAUUCAAGCGUUAUCCGGAUUUAUUGGGUUGAAAGGGUGCGUAGGCGGUCGGAUAAGUUAGAGGUGAAAUCCCGAGGCUCAACUUCGGAAUUGCCUCUGAUACUGUUCGGCUAGAGAGUAGUUGCGGUAGGCGGAAUGUAUGGUGUAGCGGUGAAAUGCUUAGAGAUCAUACAGAACACCGAUUGCGAAGGCAGCUUACCAAGCUACUUCUGACGUUGAGGCACGAAAGCGUGGGGAGCAAACAGGAUUAGAUACCCCAGUAGUC
RNAcentral lists this ribosomal RNA (460 nucleotides) under uncultured bacterium. RNAcentral describes it as "partial 16S ribosomal RNA". It matches the Rfam family "Bacterial small subunit ribosomal RNA", at positions 338 to 795 of the family's 1533-position model. The record is from RNAcentral.